CCACCCAUGAGACCAAAGAAAGAGUUACAGCUAUCUGCCUGUGAGCUGCUCAAGGCCAGGCACUAAGGUAAAGGUCCCAGUGUGAACCUGAACCAGGCCUGGACCAGCCAGGGCAAUAAAUCUAUCUGUCCUUGCUAUGAGAUACAGCAGACAGACUGCAGUCCUAGACAGUAAGGCACGUCUGAAACCCAUAUUGGCCCGAUACUGACUGGCAAACACACUCCGUCUUCUCUCUAUCUCUCUGCGUUGUUGGCUAGGACUAGGGAGCUAGAGUCCUGUCUAUCAUCUGCUGAAGAGUUUCAUAUGAUUCUUAAAUCCAAACAGAGCAAAAUGAAAGACGAAGUACAGACAGUUGACAUUUAUAAAAUAAUACUUUUUUAUUGCUUAUUUGAAUAAAUACUAUUUCAAAGUGAUCAAAUAACAUGGUAGCUACAUCGUAAUACUAGAUUGUCAGGAGACUUUACCUGAAACGCUGCAGUCACCUCUGUAGCUGAUCAAAACCUAGAUGACCUCGUUCCAAUGCUAGAUUAUCACGUGGUGCCAACAGCACCCUCUGCAGUUGUCUGGUGUAGUGUUGCUGCCCUUCAGGGAAGGCAGUAAGUUGUAUAGUUAUCUCCUGAUGGGGCAAAAUCACUACCCUGAAACCACACAACCUACUACCUCACCCCGUGCGAACAUCAGAGAGGCAGAUCCCUUUCAUGGCAAAAUAAUAAAUACAUCAUACAAACAAAAGUAUUGAAAUGAACAAAGAGCCAUACCAAAACAGAACCGAAUGAUGCAUAGAUGCCAUAUGAAUGACAUUACAAGCAUGUUAUCAUCUUGAAUUGGUUCAUAGUACAUAUUCCCAUCGAGGUCCGGGUGGCGGGCGCGCUGCAGAGAUGAUGGAUGAUAUUACAGCCACUUCAGGAAAGACAGUAAGUUGUAUAGUUAUCUGACAGGAAGGGUAUGACCCUAAAACUAUACAACCUACUACCUCACCCCAAAGGACCAUCACAGACCCGGCGGCCUACACUGGUACUCCAGUACCUUAGUCCCAGUCAACCAGGUCAGGACAACUUGUUUUCAUUUUUUUUAAAAGGAGAUGAGAGUUUGGAUCCACUAUUGUAAUUUCUCGAUUUAUUUUUGGACAGGACAGAUGUUAAGUCCAAAUCAAAUGUAUUUAUAAAGCCCUUCGUACAUCAGCUGAUAUCUCAAAGUACUGCACAGAAACCCAGCCUAAAACCCCAAACAGCAAGCAAUGCAGGUGUAGAAGCACGGUGUCUAGGAAAAACUCCCUAGAAAGGCCAAAACCUAGGAAGAAAGGAAGAGAGGAACCAGGCUAUGAGGGGUGGCCAGUCCUCUUCUGGCUGUGCCAAGAUGUUCAAAUGUUCAUAAAUGACCAGCAUGGUCAAAUAAUAAUAAUCACAGGCAGAACAGUUGAAACUGGAGCAGCAGCACGGCCAGGCGGACUGGGGACAGCAAGGAGUCAUCAUGCCAGGUAGUCCUGAGGCAUGGUCCUAGGGCUCAGGUCCUCCGAGAGAGAGAAAGAAAGAGAGAAAGAGAGAAUUAGAGAGAGCAUACUUAAAUUCACACAGGACACCGGAUAAGACAGGAGAAGUACUCCAGAUAUAACAAACUGACACAUAAACUACUGCAGCAUAAAUACUGGAGGCGGAGACAGGAGGAGUCAGGAGACACUGUGGAGAGACAGACAGAGAUGGUUACUGAAAGUAGUUCAGGGCAAAGGCAGUCGGUCACCAAGGGGGCAUGUGUGGUCCUGUACCAGAGAAGACAGCUUCAACACACCUCAGAAGACCCAGAACAAUCGUUAGGAUUGAAGCAUAAACACACAAUCACAGAGAGAGAGAGAGAGAGAGGGGGGAGAGAGAGAGAGUAGGAGAGACAGAGAGAGAGACAGAGAGACAGAGAGUAGGAGAGAGAGAGAGAGAGAGAGGGAGAGAGAGUAGGAGAGACAGAGAGAGACAGAGAGUAGGAGAGAGAGAGAAGAGGAGAGAGAGAGAGAGAGAGAGAGAGAGAGAGAGGGGGUAGAGAGAGAGCGAGAGAGAGAGGGGGGUGGACACUGGCCUAUCGCCCCCUCCCUCCCUCCUCCUCUCUCCAUCAGGCUCUAAGCAGCUUGUCAGGUAGCAGCAUCUGAAAGGACCUAAUAGGAAAAAUGUAUUACUUGUAGAAAGGGGAAAACUUAGACUUGAUAUUUGGCUUCUUGCAACCAAAUGUAAGAACAAGGUAAUUUUAAAUGAGUUGUUCCCUCAAUCAAGUGCCCGGUGAAAUGAAAAUAAAAUUAUUUUAAAUUUUUUUUUAACCUUUAUUUACCUAGGCAAGUCAGUUAAGAACAAAUUCUUAUUUUCAAUGACAGCCCAGGAACAGUGGGUUAACUGCCUUGUUCAGGGGCAGAACAACAGAUUUGUACCUUGUCAGCUCAGGGGUUUGAACUUGCAACCUUCCAGUUACUAGUCCAACGCUCUAACCACUAGGCUACCCUGCCACCCCAAAUUGGUGUGUUGAUGCAGAAGUAUACACCCAAGUACGCACAUACAUUCUCUCAUUCACUUCACAGGGCCUGCUGUCAAGUCAUUCAAUCACAUUGGAUAGUGCUCCUCUGCUACUAUAUCCCCUAGGAGCAGGAGAGGACAGUACAGAGAGUCUUGAGAGGCCCAUUGUGUCGGCUCAGUAUUAAGGAGGAUUCUGUUACCUGCAUUAUUAAACAUAGCUUUGCUUACUGUUCUGGUAAGUGGAUCACUGGAGGCUUGGCUUCUAGGUACAAACACACACAUGGACACACAUGGACACAAAGACACAUGGACACACACACUUUAAUACAUGUUUACUGGAAAGGAGCGGUUUGGGUUCACGAGGUGAAAACACUUGACCUUAGCUUGCUGAUUGGACAUUAUCUCCCAAUAUGGCAGACGGCUGUAGAGUUAUGAUCCAUAGUUGACACUAUGCUGGUAAAGGAAUUCCUUUGAACAUGGACCAGCUGACAACAUCCAGUGAGAUGCAAACACACACAUACCCACACACAUGCCCGCACCAGGGUUCAGAUUUUCAUACCAUCAUACCGUUUCUGUACCAUUACUGGUACAGAAUAUAUAUACCAUAUAUACAUAUAUACCAUAUAUAUAAGGUAUUACCUAAUGUGCAAACAAGGGGCGCUAUUUUGUUUUUAAAAAACUGCACAAAACUAUUAAGGCAACAGGGAUCUUGAUCCAGGAGAGGAUUGAAUGUGUCUGCUGUAACCAAGAAGCUUGAUCCGGACAUCUAACCACUUAGCAAGUUAGCAAACCAAAUGCAUAGCUAGAGGCCUGAGCUGGAUAUCAUUUAUUUGAUACAUCUUAGAUUUCUUAUAGUUAUAUAGUUAUACUUAACCAAAGCAGUGGCUGUCUACAGACAGAGGCACACAGACCUUCCUGCCCUCCAUACUGUACACAGUACCUCCCUACACGCCUGCACACAUGCACACACACACACACACACACACACACACACACACACACACACACACACACACACACCCUCUCCUCAAACGUACACCCCUCUCUGCAUUCCCCCUGUCAGAGCUUCUGUAGACCGGUGUGUGUGUGUGUGUGUAGCCCAGAGAGGUAGCCAGGUGCAGACAGGAGGAAUCCAGACAGACACGUCAGAGCGUUUAAAAAGGGAAGCAUGGCUUCUUAGCCCCCUGGGUUAACGGAGGGAGCAGGCAUGGACAUCUAUUCAUACCAGGUUUAGAGAGGGAGACGCAUAGCGCAGGGAGCAGGUUGGCAGACCAGGUCCAGUUACACAUGGGGGGUUCUGGUCAAAGUCAGACAAGCUGACCUCCCUAUAACCUCUGGUACUGAUAUGGGCCUCGAGAGGCGUCCUGGUGUGUAUGCUGUGCAUGUUGACUGUCUAUGGAGUGAUAUUCAGCUGUGCAUGUUGACUGUCUGUGGAGUGAUAUUCAGCUAUGGAGUGAUAUUCAGCUGUGCAUGUUGACUGUCUGUGGAGUGAUAUUCAGCUAUGGAGUGAUAUUCAGCUGUGCAU
Oncorhynchus tshawytscha (Chinook salmon) is the source of this 4014-nucleotide long non-coding RNA. The record is from Ensembl. Lineage: Eukaryota; Metazoa; Chordata; Actinopteri; Salmoniformes; Salmonidae.